AUACGUAGGGGGCGAGCGUUGUCCGGAAUGAUUGGGCGUAAAGGGCGCGUAGGCGGCGCGGUAAGUCUGGAGUGAAAGUCCUGCUUUCAAGGUGGGAAUUGCUUUGGAUACUGCCGCGCUUGAGUGCAGGAGAGGUUAUCGGAAUUCCCGGUGUAGCGGUGAAAUGCGUAGAGAUCGGGAGGAACACCAGUGGCGAAGGCGGGUAACUGGACUGCAACUGGCGCUGAGGCGCGAAAGUGUGGGGAGCAAACAGGAUUAGAUACCCUGGUAGUCCACACUGUAAACGAUGAAUGCUAGGUGUAAGAGGUAUCGACCCCUUUUGUGCCGGAGUCAACACAAUAAGCAUUCCGCCUGGGGAGUACGGCCGCAAGGUUGAAACUCAAAUGAAUUGACGGGG
Molecule: ribosomal RNA, 397 nt
Filed under: uncultured bacterium
Lineage: Bacteria
Description: partial 16S ribosomal RNA
Rfam family: Bacterial small subunit ribosomal RNA
Source: RNAcentral